Non-coding RNA from Bemisia tabaci, 4226 nucleotides. The record is from RefSeq and is a predicted model, not a curated record. NCBI's taxonomy places the organism in Eukaryota, Metazoa, Arthropoda, Insecta, Hemiptera, Aleyrodidae.
GUUGAAACCUGCACGUCCUUCAUGAAAGACGCCGAUGACGCCGUUUGUUCUUUGUAUUGAAUUAUUGAAUCCCCAAGUUUCUUUGAUCCUUGCUCGAAGCACGAAUGACGAUUCUAACUUCUUCAGCGGUUAAGAAACGAUCUGGACCUUCUGCGCAGAGCCUCUGACAUCUCUUAACACUGACACGCAGCACCAACCAGCAAUGGGUUUGCAUCUCAUGUCUCUAACUGCCUCUGGAGGUCUACCCUUAUUUUCCAGGAAGAUAGGAGCUGUGGAAUCGUUACCGUUCUCCACAAUGGCCUCCUUAAAUGGUGUUCACAUGUUUUGUAACUCUCAUGGCUGUGAGCUGAAGAAUGUAUAUACAGAGGAUACUACUGUUGUCUGGAAAACUUUAGAAGAUAGCAUUACAUUGAUUGCUGUUGGAGUCUGUACACAAGAAAGUGUUCUGAACGAACUGUUGGAUUUUGCUUUUGGUGCCUUAGUCAUGAUCGUUGGUUUAGAAGAAAUUAGAAUGCAUAGGAGUGCAGAAAGAUUGAAACGUGAUUUAAGGAUAAGUUAUCCUGUCUUGGAUCGUUUAAUGGAAUGCAUCGAUCUUGGGAAUCAGUCAUUGAGUAGUUCAGACAUUCUUUCUCUGGUACCUGUUGUUUUCACCCCUGAAAAUUCCUUAUUGUUGAAUUGUUUGGAGGUUUGGACGGAAGUCAUCAAUUCCCAGUUUGGCUGUGUGGUCGUAGAAAAUAGUAUAGCUGCAGCAACUUCAGCGUGGUGGGAGCUUGACGCACAUGAGCGCAAAUUGUUGCAACUUCUCAUCAUGUCCUCUGGCGGUGUGACAGCUACAGAUAUUCCUGUCUUCUUACCUCAGAGAAGUCCCACUGUACGUGAGGUGCCAUUUCGUCUCGUCUCUUGCAUGCUUGUCUCUGGUGUUUGGGUGUCAGCGCUGUGUGGACCUGCUCCUAGUCUUUCUCAAAUAGAACGAUUAACAGCAGAAUGUUGGAAGCAUGUCACAGAGGUCCUGAAAUCUGUCAGUUCUAUUGUACCAAGGAAUUUUCCCCAGUCUAUCAUUCUGCAGCAAGGCAUAAUAGGGUUUCUGCUCAUUAAUAUCCCGCUCUCUAAGUAUGUAAUGAGUAAUACUGUCUCCAACAACAAAAAAGAAUCUAGAUCCAAUUGUGAUGUACUGAGAACGUUUUUCUAUGAAUCAGCCACAUCACUUACUAGCCCGCAUGGAGAACACGCAGCUCUAGAAACUUAUUGGUGCUCAGAAUACCACAAAAUAUACGCAAUGCGCAUUGAAGAUGAAAUUAUGUGUGUCCUUUUCUCCUCAAAUAUACCUACACCAACCAUGAGAAUCCUAACAAGAGAAACCCAUGCUCUUCUCACUGGUGACAAACAUUUUUGCUGGUGAGUCAACGUGUUUGCCUUUCCUCCAACGUGAGUGGAUGUUCAUUCUUGCACCAACUGGCGAGAAGCCUCUAAGAAUUGGUAUUUUUGAUGCUGUCCAACUUCUAAGCUUCAGAGGAGCGGAACAAGGCAUUUCCCUCGAUUUGACGGAAACAGCCAAAAAGGCCACUGGAAUAGCCGAAGGAAAGGCGCGCUGUACUCCUUUGCGACACAUGGAAUGAGCGUUGUGUCUUCAAUUGUGAGAAUACCGACUUGAUUUAGGACGUGUCGAAUCGGUGUUGGAGUCUGUGACUGUGGAUGCUAUCUUCGAAAAUGACGCACUGGAGUUGUAGGUCAAGAUAUCGUUAGUAUAUCUUCCGAGCAAAGGGUUCGAAGAUUUGAGGUCUUCGAGGCGUGCUUCUAGACAAGCUAGAUAAACUCUAUAGGUCUGGUAGCAUGUGGCGUUGAAAACAAUAUUAUGAUAGUUACUUGCAGUAAGGUAAAACAUGUUAACACCAAGACCAAUCCCACGUGUUGUGACACUGAGCAUGACCGAUCGUUUUGGUUUGGUUUCAUGAAUCUGUGGGAGCACUUCCUCAUUUGUAAGACCGACAUGAUGGCGUUUCCUAAGAUCUUCCUCCAAUUUGUCAAGAGUCUUCUUGCCUUCGCGUUUUCUCUUCUCAUCAAUCCUUGAUUCUUGAUUGCGCACACGUGAAGGAGGUGGCUUCUUCUUGUUGGACUUUUUCUUUCGAGAUGAACUGCUGUCACCCUGUGACUUCUCACGGUAAUGAUUAUCACUGUCAGACAUAGUGGUCGAUUCUAACAGUGGCUUCUGAAAUCAAAAAGCCUAAUAUCCAUGGAAACCAAAAUUUCCAGGAAAUUUCCAGGUUAUUUGAUUCAGCAGGAGCAAAAUAAAAUUACUCGGUCAUAAAAAUUUCACGAAAUCCUUACUUUACAGUAGAGAAUAACCUAAUAAAAAUGCCAAUCAAAGGAGAAAUGCGGCAGGAGGGAAUGUAGAUCCCCUAUACAUAUGAACCUAUUUUUCGGUGAAAGCCUAUAAAAAUUUAAAAUCGUGAUUAUUUCUUGAGGAGCUCCAACGAUGGUUGGGGUAGAGAGAAAUGAGUCCCUUCUCUCCACCCUCAUGUAGCGUUGGGGUAGAGAGGUAGGAGAUAAGUGUAAGAAAUAGAUGAGAUACCUAACAUUAAGGGGAAAAAGAUGUUUCUAAGGCCACUUUUGAAAACAAUGAUUUGAAAUUGUGGAUGUAAGUAUGUGGUUAGUGUUCCUCUUGACAUUUUAGCUCAGAUUUCUAACUUAGAGUUAAACCCUUCUCAGGAGAACCAUCUACGACGAAUCAUCAGUUCUUUGAAAAUUUUGAGUUAAAAGAAAAGUAAAUCAAUUUAAUUUAAGAUAAUGGAUUGUUCACUUAAAGGAGGGAUCCAUCUUCUCAGAUUUAAUAUGUCAUUACUUUUGAAUUUUUGACAUCCAAAUUUUCUUACUUUAAGACUUAUUUUUUUAUUAUUUUUUUUUUUUUUUGCUACAUCUUUGGCAAUUAUCAUAUGACAGAAUUGAUAGAUCUAUUUUAUUUUCAUCUAAUGACCUCAUGAAAUACUUUUGUCCCCUUUCUACAGUUACAACCUGGUUGAAUUCGAUUAGAGUCGUGUGAUGAAAGGGGGUAGCAUUUAUUUAAAUCAACUCUUGUGAUUAUGUCUUCAUAAUUGCAUCUGCAUUCUUUACUAAAAAUUCUUUUUGUGUCAUGCAAAUUUAUGAAGAUUGAUACAGCUUCCAAGUCAAAUAAAGUCAUCAUGUAGCUUCUUGGAUGACGUGUGAAUGUCAAAUUGCAUUCUUUUUUAUUUUUAAACGAUUUAUAUACCUGUUUAAAAUCUGAAUAUUUAUUUUCUUCACAAUUUUCGACGUAUUCUAUUUCACCCAAUGAAAUUUUGCUGCCAUAUCUUUCAUAUCCUCUGCUUUUCAAUUCAAACGCUUCUUCUUCAUUGCAAAACUUUGAAAAAAUGAAAAUAUCAAUGUCAUUGUAUUUUACAAAGCGUUAAACCAAAAAAGCGGCACAUCCUCCUCCCAUGUAUGCUGUAUCAUGGACAUUUAUAUACGGUAGGUCAUUUUUAAUUACCUCUAAAUGACUUUUUAUUUCAGAUAAUUCAUUUUUAUAAUUUUUCUGUUCAUGACUUUUCACUGAUAAUCUCUUUAAUAUUAAUUCUUGGCCCAUUAUAUUCGAUUACAAAAAGAGCUUAUAGAAUUAUGUAUACGAAACUAUAUUUAAUCGCUUAUUGAUAAUUAUAAGAAGUAACAACUAAUCGUAAACUUAAAUAAUUCUGCAACUAUCAAGGAAUGAAACCAUAUUCGAAUUUUCAUUACCUGUGAAAAACAAGAAGCAAUUUUACUGCUUAUCCUUUGUUGACUGUAAUAAAAGAAUACUACGAAUCACUUCUAUGACUUUUAUUAUCAAAAAGAUACUCUCAUAUAUUUAUCAUGUAAACAGCUGAUAAGAUUAUAGCCUACAAUCCACCCCUUAAUCGCAAUCAGGUGUAGAUAAGGCGCAGCUAAUUUCGCGAAAAACAAAACCGACGAUUUUGACACAAUUAAUUUUGACACAAUUAUCCCCCCUGAAGGUCAACCCCUAAUUUUGAUCUUAAGUUCUCAAAUUGUGGGGUUGGGAUUCCCUUUGUCAAAAUAUCAGCUAUUUGCGCAUUCGUUGGCACAUACUCGAUUACAACUGUUUUGUUCUCUACUAAUUCACGAAUAAAAUUAUAUUUGAUGUCAAUAUGUUUCAUCCGUCCAUGAUUAAUUGGAUUUUUUGCAGCAUUUAUACAUGAUUGAUUGUCUUCUUUUACAAUGAC